GAAGAAUAUGUGGAUGUGGAGGAUGAAGAAGAAGAGGAAGAAGAAGAGGAGAACAAGACCAAGCCCUCCACAAGAAGAAGAAGAAAAGGAAAAGGAGGAAAAGUGGUUUGCUUCAAUGACUGCAGCCUCACCCAGGUCCUCGAGUUCCAGCCUAGUGGCCGCCGUGACGAGGUUCACAGCUCCGCCUAUGGAAUUUUCUUUAUGGCCUGCCGCUCCACUUGUGCCGUCUCUGGGGAUAAUCAUGAGGGAGGGUCAGGGAACCAAGGCUUGAGCUGCCGCAACGCAAAGAACAUGGUGGUGACAAGCCUUAGCCGCCUCAAGCCUGCGGGCACAUGGUGGUGACAAGCCUUAGCCGCCUCAAGCCUGCGGGCAAGGAAGAUGAGGUCCAUGGUGGGAGGGGAGCCCGGCCGAUGAUGUCGGCGGCAGAUGGGGGUCAGUGAGUGAGCAGACCGACGGCCUUAUCCGCAGGAGCCUCGCCCACAGCCACGUACAGAUGAGAAGGAAGGUGGAUGGAGCUCCUCCAACGCCUCAAGGCCCCUCCAGCAUGCAUGCAUUUUUAUGAAUUCUGAGGAGAGGACGGCAGGAAGGAAAGCCGAGCUAGCGGGAGCCGGCGGCAAGAUUCAUAUAGCAGCAGAGCAGAGUCUUGUCCGCAACAACACUGGAUGCAAUGCCUCUGUCUAUCUAGUCUUAAUUGUGGGCAGGCAGAAAGAAAGCAAGGUGUUGUUGGAUUACCUUACCUUAUCCUUACCACGAGAGAUUUGACAAGAGGGAGCUCAAUGCAUGCAAUGAAGAAUGUCAUCUUGCUUGGCAGCAGAGCAGAGCAGAGUUGCAGCUGGGCCAACACGCUCCAGCAAGCACAUGAUUCCUUCCUUCCCUUUUUUUUCUUAUGUGGCAUGUAUGUUACUCCCACUAUGCAUGCAUGACUAGUCUUAGUCGUGUCAGUCUCCAUGAAGAUUAUUGUAAGCUAGAGACAAGUUGUUCUUCUCCUACCU
Molecule: long non-coding RNA, 992 nt
Organism: Triticum aestivum (bread wheat)
Lineage: Eukaryota; Viridiplantae; Streptophyta; Magnoliopsida; Poales; Poaceae
Exons: 3
Source: RefSeq, a predicted model, not a curated record